AGAGUUUGAUCCUGGCUCAGGAUGAACGCUAGCGACAGGCUUAACACAUGCAAGUCGAGGGGCAGCAUGGUUUGUAGCAAUACAGAUUGAUGGCGACCGGCGCACGGGUGAGUAACGACGUAUGCAACUUACCUAUCAGAGGGGGAUAGCCCGGCGAAAGUCGGAUUAAUACCCCAUAAAACAGGGGUCCCGCAUGGGAAUAUUUGUUAAAGAUUCAUCGCUGAUAGAUAGGCAUGCGUUCCAUUAGGCAGUUGGCGGGGUAACGGCCACCAAACCGACGAUGGAUAGGGGUUCUGAGAGGAAGGUCCCCCACAUUGGUACUGAGACACGGACCAAACUCCUACGGGAGGCA
RNAcentral lists this ribosomal RNA (352 nucleotides) under uncultured bacterium. RNAcentral describes it as "bacterial SSU rRNA". It matches the Rfam family "Bacterial small subunit ribosomal RNA", at positions 8 to 350 of the family's 1533-position model. The record is from RNAcentral.